GCGCCUGUAGCUCAACAGGAUAGAGCAACGGACUUCUAAUCCGUAGGUUCGGGGUUCGAGUCCCUGCAGGCGCGCCA
RNAcentral lists this transfer RNA (77 nucleotides) under Deltaproteobacteria bacterium. Its description in RNAcentral is "tRNA-Arg". It matches the Rfam family "tRNA". From Rfam's summary of the family: Transfer RNA (tRNA) molecules are approximately 80 nucleotides in length. Their secondary structure includes four short double-helical elements and three loops (D, anti-codon, and T loops). The record is from RNAcentral. Lineage: Bacteria; Pseudomonadati; Myxococcota; Myxococcia.